UUUCCGUAGGUGAACCUGCGGAAGGAUCAUUAUCGUACAAAAUGUGGGCGGCAUACAAGGGCAAUCGCUGACCCAAAAGUCGUUCACGCCCGACUGGGUCCUCUUGCCUAAUAAUCCAUCUCCCCCUUUGUGCAUCACCGCGUUGGCACCCUUCGGGAUCAUCUCGGUGGGGGGCUCCCGUUUUCACACAAACCCCCCUCUUAAAAGUGUAGAAUGGUCACAUUUAUGAAAUAAAUACAACUUUCAACAACGGAUCUCUUGGCUCUG
This 267-nucleotide unclassified non-coding RNA is filed under the name plant metagenome. Its description in RNAcentral is "partial contains small subunit ribosomal RNA, internal transcribed spacer 1, and 5.8S ribosomal RNA". The record is from RNAcentral.